CCAGUAGGCCAGUACAUUCUCAUGCCAUUCUUUGAUUACCGUACAUUGCAAAAUGCGUUGGUCAAGAACAGAUGCUCAUUAAUGAUUCUUAACAUAUGUUUCUUCACAUUGGACCCGUUCCACAUGGGUAUAAUAUAGCUUCAAAGAGAUUAUGCAUGCAUACAUUUUUGGCACGCAUACAUUUUGGAAAUGGAUGCAUGAAGCAUUGAAGCUAUUGAAAAGUUUCUAGCCACCCAUGCGAAGAAGAGACAGAUGUGGUGUCAGUGUCUGGGAGCUCCGACUCCAAGCAUUGUGACUCCAGGAGUCCAUGUGGGCCAAGGAGCUUAAAGAAUCACACGCUUCAACCUUCAAACCAGGCGCUCUGCUACUUCCUUCAUUGUUGGCCUGUCAUCUCCACUUGGGCAUAGGCAGUGCACUGCUAGUUGGGCUAGCUUCUCAAGCACCGCCAUGACCGCCUCAUCUAUAAUUUCGAUGUCCAGCAUCAGUUGGUGCUUAUUACGUCGAAACAUUAAGAGAAAGGUAUGCGCCAGUGAUUUCUUUUCGUUGAACCUAUCCUCAAACAUAGCCCUUUUUCUUGUGAUCAACUCCAGAAGAACUACUCCGAAACUGUAGACAUCACUUUUCUCUGUCAGCUGAUGACUGAUAAAGCUCUCAGGGUCAAGAUAGCCAAGUGUUCCUUGUACAAACAUGAUGAACUCAUUUUCGUCCAUUGACUUCUGUGCUGAUGCUCCAAAAUCUGCAAUCUUUGCAUUGUGCUGAUCAUCCAACAGGAUAUUGGCAGACUUGACAUCUCCAUGUAGAAUUGUGCAAGAUAUCGAUGAAUGUAAAUAAGCAAGAGCUUCUGCUGAUUGUGUGGCAAUCUUCAGACGGAGAUCCAAGGGGAUGGGUGAUGUACGAUCAGCACCAUGAAGGAACCUGGAUAGAGUUCCAUUGGAGACAAACUCGUACACCAACAUUGGGACAUCUACGUCCAAGCAACAGCCUAGUAACCUCACGAUGUUUCGGUGGUUGAUUUGAGACAAAAUUAUUAUCUCAUUGACAAAUUCUUCCCUACAGUCAUCAUUUAUUACCUUAGACUUUUUUAUGGCAACCUCUUUGUGGUCAUCCAAAGUUCCUCUAUAGACCAUUCCAUGACCACCACAUCCAAGCACUCUAUCUUCACUAUAGUUGUCUGUGGCUUUCUUUAUUUCCUUCUCUGUAAGAAUAUGAAUCGUGUGAACCUUCCUUGCCCUCAUUUCAUCAUAUAACUUGAGACCUCCAUUUUGUCUGAAA
Molecule: long non-coding RNA, 1272 nt
Organism: Panicum virgatum (switchgrass)
Lineage: Eukaryota; Viridiplantae; Streptophyta; Magnoliopsida; Poales; Poaceae
Exons: 3
Source: RefSeq, a predicted model, not a curated record